This 1280-nucleotide long non-coding RNA is filed under the name Nicotiana tabacum (common tobacco). RNAcentral describes it as "long non-coding RNA (NTAB_LNC005716)". Lineage: Eukaryota; Viridiplantae; Streptophyta; Magnoliopsida; Solanales; Solanaceae. The record is from RNAcentral.
GCCAACAUGAUCCUUUAAAAACUCAAAAUAUAGGCCGACAAGGCCGUACAAUCUUUUAUGUACACAACAUAUGUCUACAAGCCUCUAAGAGUACGUAAAUGUCAUAAAGGUUGGGAUAGAAUCCCGCCAUACCAAACAAUACACGUCUAAAUGAUACUAACCAAACGAGCAACUCUGAAGCAAAUGGAGCGCACCAACAUCUUCCGCUGAGCUGAUAGCCUACUUGGAGGACUCUCGACCUGUCUAUCGGGACCCGCGGGCAUGAAAUGCAGCAUCCCCAGGCAAAAGGGACGUCAGUACGAAUAAUGUACCGAGUAUUUAAGGCACAUAAAUUAAUACAUAAGAGACAUGGAAGAAAUAUAUAGCACAUGACUCAACCUGUAAGUCUGAAUAACUUUAUAAAUCAUAAAUUACUUUUAGCGUCAUACAUAUGUGUAUGAAUGUCUUGUCGUGCAUAGGUACAUGUUUCAUAAUAUCAUCAGCCUCUGAGGGCAUCCCAUCAUAUCAUAUCAGCCACUGUGGUCAAAAUCAUCAUCGUAUACCAGUUCAUCAGGUGGUGGUGCAUAUAUAACGCGUUAACCUUUCCCAUAUCCCAUACACAUACAUAUAUAAUGCCGUUUGAAUCAUAUUUCAGCCAAUAGGGGCAACAUCAUCAUCAUAUACCAGCUUAUCAGGUGGUGGAGCGUAUAUAACGCCGUAACCUUUUCCCAUAUCCCAUAUACAUAUAUUUACAUAUAAACGCGUAUAUAACGCCAUCUGGUCAUGGGUCAAUGCACAUGUAUGAAAUGCAUGAAAAAUACAUAAUAAUCUCAAUAUUCUUUCCAGAUAAAUUUUUCCAAUUGCGUAUUAUUCUGAGACCCAUGAGCAGAAGAUAAUAAUAUGUUUCAUGGGGAAUCAAGAAUAUAGACACCCCUACUAUUUCUAUGAAUAGAGUAAUUUAUGGAAACUGUGAGUUUGCUCGUUUCUUUAGUAUCAUAUGGACAAUGCCAAAAGAAUGAAGGGAGGGCCUUAACAUACCUAUUCCUGGAAUUAUUUGAACGGAAUGAAGCUUCUGCUUCCGUGAAAUAUGUUGAACGAAAUUCUGACUGAAUCCCUUGAAAUUGAGAGUAAAACGUUUCUGGUUCUUUGAGUUUUAGAAGGAAUAACGUUUGGAUUCCUUAUGAUUCACAUUGGAUUUGAAUGUUGGACAAAAUGAUCUGCUUCUAACGUUUUUGGUUUGAAUCCAAAGUCAGAAUGUGGUUUCCUAAUGAAUGGCUUACUAAGUUUCCAAAAAAAUGAUC